RNAcentral lists this ribosomal RNA (254 nucleotides) under uncultured bacterium. Its description in RNAcentral is "partial 16S ribosomal RNA". It matches the Rfam family "Bacterial small subunit ribosomal RNA", at positions 524 to 776 of the family's 1533-position model. The record is from RNAcentral.
UACAGAGGUGGCAAGCGUUGUUCGGAUUUACUGGGCGUAAAGGGCGCGUAGGCGGCCAGCACAAGUCAGUUGUGAAAUCUCCGAGCUUAACUCGGAAAGGUCAACUGAUACUGUGCGGCUAGAGUGCGGAAGGGGCAACUGGAAUUCUUGGUGUAGCGGUGAAAUGCGUAGAUAUCAAGAGGAACACCUGCGGCGAAGGCGGGUUGCUGGGCCGACACUGACGCUGAGGCGCGAAAGCUAGGGGAGCGAACGGG